UAGUAAUAGGAGUUGCAACAAUUUCAGCAGAUAAUUUCAGAAAGAGAGGGUUAAUAGACGUCAGCAUGCCACUUUUUUAACUCGAAACUCCAACAAACAACUUAGUUUUUAUUGGUAGAAGCUAUUCCUAAUCCGCUCUUUUCCAUCAGAGGGGUAUAGCCCACCCUUCUCCUCAGAGACAGGCAAACUAGUGUUGCUAGGCAACAGUAGCCUUGGCAACACUGCUACCUUUUGGCGAAAGCAAGAGAGACGCAGGCUAAGAUAGUUAGUUUGCGCUUUAAUAUGAACUAAACUGCCCUCUGACCCACAAAACGACUUUGCUAGAUUAAUGAUAGUGUUGUUAGACAAAGCAAGGAAAGUGAACUUCAAAAUGUGAUGUAGUUUGAUAGGAAAUUGCAGCUGUUGUUGGUAAAUAAUUAAUCUGAUAGCUUCUGACAUGAUUUACUGCAGCUAGAAAGAGAGCAGGCAAUGGGUUAGUAAAACGGCUCUAGUUACAGAUUGGUAGAAGCUAUUCCAAAUCCGUUUUCGGAUUUGACAAGCAAAUACAUCGGCAAAGUUUUCAUGCCUUUGAAUAUGUUUUUAACUUGUUGGGUAAGUGGUCAAAAUGGCAGUUGUUUGGAAAAGGUUGGAAGAAAAGGUGGUAACACAGUUAAUAAAACAGCUGUACCGUAAGAUCUGUAGUAUUUUGGUUCCGCGAACAGAUAUGAAUAGCAGAGAAGUAAACGAAUAUGCCACACACUCUAACUUUGUCUUAACUGCUUGAGAGUAGUGGUCAAAAUCACAAAACAAGUUUUACGAAAAUGUUCGGUAUGCGGUUACUUAAACAGCUGUAACUUUUUAUCAGAAUAUUAUUUUUUGUUCAAACACCAGAUUUGAGUAGCCGAGAACUAUACGAAGAUGUGAACGCUUCUUGUAAAGUGGUCAAAGUUGCUGAUUUGUGUCAAAAGUUGCAUUAUUCCAUGUACAGAGAAUGGCUGUUGGAAGUGAUGUUGUCACAAUGGAGCAGUGUUGCCAACUCCUCAGUAAGGAAAGUAGCUAUUGGCUGUCCUAAAAGUUGCUAGAAGUCGCUAAAUGACGUCAUCACCUAAUUUGCAUAAUUGGCGAUGUGCAUGUAAUUGUGAUGGACGCUGUAGGAGAGAGGAAUAACGUCGUGGGAGUGACAAAAAACCCCCCCUCCACACACACACAGGCUGUGCUGGCUCACAGAAAGAAUGUGUCAUCGUCAUUUUGGUCAAGGCUCUCUAUGGCAGGUUCAGCAACUGAGGGAGCUGACUUAAAUGAGUAAGCAGCUGAUGUGCCAAAAAGCUGCAAGCCUCACCAGACAGCUUCAGUCCAUAUCUAAUGUACAGGAUGGAGUUAAGGGUCUGCAAGGACAUCCGAUUUCUAAGUUAGCUUUUUACCACACUCAUCUGGCUGAAAACUCUCUCGACUUCAGCAUUCGAGUGUGGCAAGGACAACACAGACACAACAGCCAUGGCAACUUCUUGAAGCGGGUUGAUAUCAGCUGCAUCCCUGAACUUCCAAAUCUCACUCCAGAAGCCCAGUGUGUUUUUUGUCUCAUUCCAUUUACUAAGAUGGAUGGCACGCCAUUGCUGGACAAUCUUGUCUAUCUCUGCAGGGGAGUAGCCAAGGAGCUUGGCUAUUUUUUCUAUUUCUACAGGGCUCUUAUUGUGCUUUAGAGUUUCCUCCACAUUGAAAACUGACAUGCACUGCAAUGCUUCGCUGUUGUCCGGCAGUCUCACCCUCAACUCAUUAGUGAGGGAGAUGGUGAAGGCUACACACCACUUUCGGACAUUGUUUUCAUCCUCAGGCGCAAGGUGGAGCUCAGCUGCCUUUGACUCAAAAAGUUAACCAAGGUACGGUUUGGGACUGAUGUAUCCAUCUAUUGGCCCUUUGAGUACAUCAACAUUUGCCAGUAGAUUCAGCACCCUGCUGCUCACAGACUUGAUCAGGCUAACCAAGCUGUCAAGUUCUUUAAGAGGAUCUACUUGCUCUCCCUCAAAAGCCUUGAUGGCCAACUGUACCUCACCCAGCACUGACUUCAAAAAAGUCAGAUACAAUAUGUUUUGAGGAUCACUGUACAUGGAGUAUAAAACCUCAGCCAUGUAGCAGUGUUCACUGGACUUGGUGACUGCAAAAUGCAGCCUAAGCUCCUCCCACUGGUCCAAAAUGCGUGAAACCACGGGUUCAAUGGAGAGCCAACCUGUGGCACACACCUUGGUUAUCUGUAAAGGUUUCUCCCCACAGUUUAUGGUCUCAUAUAUGGCCUUGUAGGCCUCCCUGCGCUUUGGAGAAACUGAAAACCAGUUAUAAGUCUCUCAUACCAAGUACUCCACACUACAGGGGAUGGUGUCAUUGGAAGCAUGACUUACAGCAAGCUGUAGAGAGUGGCAAACACAGUGAAUAAGAACCAGAUAUUUGAGGCCAUACUCCUCUUUCAGCACUUUAUGGACCCUAUUGUUAAUCCCCGUCAUAACAGAGGCAUUGUCAGGUAGAGAGAGAGAGAGAGAUACGUCCACUGUCAGUCCAUUGAAUAGGGAAAGGUAGGGUCAGUGUUAUGGUAGUGCCUAUCCCCAGGAGUUUCUCUUUUUUAAGACAAUGCGUCUCGAGGAAAGCCACAACAGCACGGCUAUAGAUUUGGCAUCUCCCUCCAACUCAACAAGCCCCAGAAAUGUUGAUACAAUUGUCUGCUUGGUGUCACUAAAGUACCUUAUCACAACCCCAAGGUACUUAGAAACACUUACAUCCGUGGACUCAUCGAAGAGGCUGAAACUCUGGUCACCUACAUCUGCGACCAACUUUUUCAGAAAGUAUGGUGCUAGAACACCCUUAAUCAUUUAUGUGCACUUUGUCCUGUGCAUUUUGAAGUGGGUAGCAGCAGUGGAGUCUGAGAAAGCAGCUCUACAUGCUUCUCCAAUGUGAUCACAUGCCAGCAUGGAACAGUGUUUUCAGCGAUAGUUCUCCAAUAACCCCAGAAAAAGUUGCUAGAUUUGUCACUAGUCGAUGUUUAGAAAAUAUGUCGCUAGAGGGGUCUGAAUACUCGCUAAAUAUAGCGACAAAGUCGCUAAGUUGGCAACACUGCAAUGGAGAGCUUCAGAAUGUUGAAGAAAUACCAUGAAAGCGGAUGGAAGACAAAGAAAAGAGUUGUACUGUAUACAAGCAACUCGAGUGUGACCAUUCCACACGUUUUGACGUCUGAACAGCAUUUCUAGCUUAAACAGUGUAGGAUGAGUAGUGUGCUAAAGAAUAUGAAGAAGGAAAAAAAAAACUGGGGCUUUUGAUGCGCAUGCCCUACAAUAAAACAGGUCUACCACCACCACAUAAAGGCCAUGUGUAAUUCUGCAUUUCAGCCCCAAUAUUCAUAAAAAACAGGUCUACACCUGUCCAAUUUACAUACCUACAGUAUGCACCUGUGCUUGAACCCAAUAAGUCAACUAAGCCAGGUCUAAAUGUGACAAAGCCUGAAUACUAAAAUUGUAAACCUGUUCUACCCCUGCAACACAGCUCCAGUACUCUGUCAAGGUCUACAUCUUUGACUGAGUCCCAAUACUAAUAUAACCCAGAUCUACUCCUGCAUAUCUCAGCGGAAAUACCCAUACGAACCAGGUUUGCACCUAUAGCUAUGUUCCAAUACUCUGAUAAACCAGGUCUACCCUUGUGACUAUUCAUCAAAACUCACUACCAUUGUGCAAGAGACACUAAACAAACCUAUUGAUAUUAUAUAUUUGUUAAAUUAUUACAUUAAUUCAGUUUAUGGGUCUAUACAUGGCCAAUUCCCCCUGAAAUAACCAAAUAUGACGUUUCACAGUCAAAAUCACUGAUUUAAACAUACUGUAUGUAAAGGCUAAUGGUAAAAUGAUCUGUAAAAUCUCUUGAUCAAGUAUAUCUAUAAUCCAACA
This 3899-nucleotide long non-coding RNA is filed under the name Salmo salar (Atlantic salmon). RNAcentral's name for it is "lncRNA (ENSSSAG00000091229.1)". Lineage: Eukaryota; Metazoa; Chordata; Actinopteri; Salmoniformes; Salmonidae. The record is from RNAcentral.